GGGACGGGUGAGUAACACGUGGAUAACCUACCUAUAAGACUGGGAUAACUUCGGGAAACCGGAGCUAAUACCGGAUAACAUGUUGAACCGCAUGGUUCAACAGUGAAAGACGGUCUUGCUGUCACUUAUAGAUGGAUCCGCGCCGCAUUAGCUAGUUGGUAAGGUAACGGCUUACCAAGGCAACGAUGCGUAGCCGACCUGAGAGGGUGAUCGGCCACACUGGAACUGAGACACGGUCCAG
Molecule: ribosomal RNA, 241 nt
Filed under: uncultured Staphylococcus sp.
Lineage: Bacteria; Bacillati; Bacillota; Bacilli; Caryophanales; Staphylococcaceae
Description: partial 16S ribosomal RNA
Rfam family: Bacterial small subunit ribosomal RNA
Source: RNAcentral